UUUGCAAGGUGGAGAUGAGAAUGAAAAUUGGGGAACGGAUGUUGGAACUGGUUCUGAGCAGGAAUUGACUUUGUUGUAUCCAUUUACAUCGUCUACUAGUGUGAUUCAGAGGAAGAUUAAACGGCAGUAUGAUGAACUAAUGAGGUGUCAGGAAUCAAAGGAAUUGACAUUGGCUCAGGUCCAACAAUUCGCUAACUGCUUAAUCAACGCUAGAAGCAAGCUGCAG
Molecule: unclassified non-coding RNA, 226 nt
Filed under: Hevea brasiliensis (rubber tree)
Lineage: Eukaryota; Viridiplantae; Streptophyta; Magnoliopsida; Malpighiales; Euphorbiaceae
Source: RNAcentral